This 79-nucleotide microRNA precursor is filed under the name Chlorocebus sabaeus (green monkey). RNAcentral describes it as "miRNA (ENSCSAG00000021923.1)". The record is from RNAcentral. Lineage: Eukaryota; Metazoa; Chordata; Mammalia; Primates; Cercopithecidae.
CUGCCAUGAUGCCAGCUGCAGUGGGGGAGGUGCAGCCAGGGCUGCAUGCUCCAUGGAGCCAGUGCGAGCCAGGAACAGG